AUGGCUCAGGACGAACGCUGGCGGCACGCUUAACACAUGCAAGUCGAACGAGCGAAAGGUGCUUGCACCUCUAGCUAGUGGCGGACGGGUGAGUAACACGUGAGCAAUCUGCCUUUCGGUGGGGGAUACCAAUUGGAAACGAUUGUUAAUACCCCAUAACAUAACGAAGCCGCAUGACUUUGUUAUCAAAGAUUUAUUGCCGGAAGAUGAGCUUGCGUCUGAUUAGGUAGUUGGUGAGGUAACGGCUCACCAAGCCGACGAUCAGUAGCCGGACUGAGAGGUUGAACGGCCACAUUGGGACUGAGACACGGCCCAGACUCCUACGGGAGGCAGCAGUGGGGAAUAUUGCACAAUGGGCGAAAGCCUGAUGCAGCGAUGCCGCGUGAGGGAAGAAGGUUUUAGGAUUGUAAACCUCUGUCUUUGGGGACGAUAAUGACGGUACCCAAGGAGGAAGCUCCGGCUAACUACGUGCCAGCCGCCGC
Molecule: ribosomal RNA, 482 nt
Filed under: uncultured bacterium
Lineage: Bacteria
Description: bacterial SSU rRNA
Rfam family: Bacterial small subunit ribosomal RNA
Source: RNAcentral